Molecule: ribosomal RNA, 503 nt
Filed under: uncultured bacterium
Lineage: Bacteria
Description: partial 16S ribosomal RNA
Rfam family: Bacterial small subunit ribosomal RNA
Source: RNAcentral
AUUGAACGCUGGCGGCAGGCUUAACACAUGCAAGUCGAGCGGGGUGAUGGUGCUUGCACUAUCACUUAGCGGCGGACGGGUGAGUAAUGCUUAGGAAUCUGCCUAUUAGUGGGGGACAACAUCUCGAAAGGGAUGCUAAUACCGCAUACGUCCUACGGGAGAAAGCAGGGGAUCACUUGUGACCUUGCGCUAAUAGAUGAGCCUAAGUCGGAUUAGCUAGUUGGUGGGGUAAAGGCCUACCAAGGCGACGAUCUGUAGCGGGUCUGAGAGGAUGAGCAGCCACACUGGGACUGGGACAAGGCCCAGACUCCUACGGGAGGCAGCAGUGGGGAAUAUUGGACAAUGGGGGGAACCCUGAUCCAGCCAUGCCGCGUGUGUGAAGAAGGCCUUAUGGUUGUAAAGCACUUUAAGCGAGGAGGAGGCUCUUUUGGUUAAUACCCAAGAUGAGUGGACGUUACUCGCAGAAUAAGCACCGGCUAACUCUGUGCCAGCCGCCGCAGUAA